Molecule: ribosomal RNA, 1343 nt
Filed under: uncultured bacterium
Lineage: Bacteria
Description: 16S ribosomal RNA
Rfam family: Bacterial small subunit ribosomal RNA
Source: RNAcentral
GACGAACGCUGGCGGCGUGCUUAACACAUGCAAGUCGAACGGAAAGGCCCUGCUUUUGUGGGGUGCUCGAGUGGCGAACGGGUGAGUAACACGUGAGUAACCUGCCCUUGACUUUGGGAUAACUUCAGGAAACUGGGGCUAAUACCGGAUAGGAGCUCCUGCUGCAUGGUGGGGGUUGGAAAGUUUCGGCGGUUGGGGAUGGACUCGCGGCUUAUCAGCUUGUUGGUGGGGUAGUGGCUUACCAAGGCUUUGACGGGUAGCCGGCCUGAGAGGGUGACCGGCCACAUUGGGACUGAGAUACGGCCCAGACUCCUACGGGAGGCAGCAGUGGGGAAUAUUGCACAAUGGGCGGAAGCCUGAUGCAGCAACGCCGCGUGCGGGAUGACGGCCUUCGGGUUGUAAACCGCUUUCGCCUGUGACGAAGCGUGAGUGACGGUAAUGGGUAAAGAAGCACCGGCUAACUACGUGCCAGCAGCCGCGGUGAUACGUAGGGUGCGAGCGUUGUCCGGAUUUAUUGGGCGUAAAGGGCUCGUAGGUGGUUGAUCGCGUCGGAAGUGUAAUCUUGGGGCUUAACCCUGAGCGUGCUUUCGAUACGGGUUGACUUGAGGAAGGUAGGGGAGAAUGGAAUUCCUGGUGGAGCGGUGGAAUGCGCAGAUAUCAGGAGGAACACCAGUGGCGAAGGCGGUUCUCUGGGCCUUUCCUGACGCUGAGGAGCGAAAGCGUGGGGAGCGAACAGGCUUAGAUACCCUGGUAGUCCACGCUGUAAACGGUGGGUACUAGGUGUGGGGUCCAUUCCACGGGUUCCGUGCCGUAGCUAACGCUUUAAGUACCCCGCCUGGGGAGUACGGCCGCAAGUCUAAAACUCAAAGGAAUUGACGGGGCCCCGCACAAGCGGCGGAGCAUGCGGAUUAAUUCGAUGCAACGCGUAGAACCUUACCUGGGUUUGACAUGGAUCGGGAGUGCUCAGAGAUGGGUGUGCCUCUUUUGGGGUCGGUUCACAGGUGGUGCAUGGCUGUCGUCAGCUCGUGUCGUGAGAUGUUGGGUUAAGUCCCGCAACGAGCGCAACCCUUGUUCACUGUUGCCAGCACGUUAUGGUGGGGACUCAGUGGAGACCGCCGGGGUCAACUCGGAGGAAGGUGGGGAUGACGUCAAGUCAUCAUGCCCCUUAUGUCCAGGGCUUCACGCAUGCUACAAUGGCUGGUACAGAGAGUGGCGAGCCUGUGAGGGUGAGCGAAUCUCGGAAAGCCGGUCUCAGUUCGGAUUGGGGUCUGCAACUCGACCUCAUGAAGUCGGAGUCGCUAGUAAUCGCAGAUCAGCAACGCUGCGGUGAAUACGUUCCCGGG